GCCUGACCUUUUAUUACCCAAGCUCUGCUUCCGUGGCUCGUCCUGUGACGCAGGAAGGGACUGGGUCCGAACAGGGUUCCUUCCUUUAGGGAAGAACGAGGUGCAAGAGGGAUGGCUUGUCUCUGGCCACAAAGCUCUGUGUUGCAUCCAAGUUCCAGCUCCUUUUAUUGGCAAAGGGCCUCAAGCGACAACAAGGGUGGGUUUGAACCAAUGGAGAGUCUGAAUUUCCCUCUUAAUUUGAGGAAAUCAGUGACUUUGGAUGAAAACAUGGAGAACAAGGGGACCGUGGAAGCAACAUUUUCAAGAUGUCAGAGCCUCCAUCAGCUGGGCCCUCAGUGAGCACCCCUCCACCCUGGGAACCACUUUAUCCUUUUAUGUGAGUGAAGAAUAAACCUGUACUGCACUUGUGACACUGAACUUCUUGAGGCCUACAAGUAACAUCAAUUAGCCCAGCUCACCUAAUUCAACAUGUAUAAUGUGAAUCGUCUAAAAUGCCAACAAGUUUAUCAUUUGAUUUUAAAGGAUAUUACCAAAAAUUUGAAUGAAGCUUUUGUAGCAAAGAAAGAUAUUUGUUACAGCAAGAGUUUUGAUUGUUCUUACAUCUUUUCCUGUUGCUUAUGCUGCAAACUGAUGUGUUUUCAAUAUCCCAAGGAUCUAGGAAGGAAAGGAAAAUACAACCAGUAAUCUAUAUCUAAAAGAGUAGUAAAUCUUACGACUACUCACACUGUAGACAGGAUUUGGACUAUAAAGACACAAUGAUGAUCAUUUCUGUCUCUUCCUGUCUAAAGGAAGUGAGCUCUACCAAAUGGAGCAAAGGCCCCCCCAGUCCUUUAGCCCUAAUUACAAAGUCAAAGAAGUUUUGAAAGCCAAUAUUUUUUCACAGGUUUGUACUAACUAGUUUGGCAAUGAAUCUGGACUUCAGCUGCCAUGAGUCCAAUAAAAUAUUUAUCACA
Molecule: long non-coding RNA, 953 nt
Organism: Lagenorhynchus albirostris (white-beaked dolphin)
Lineage: Eukaryota; Metazoa; Chordata; Mammalia; Artiodactyla; Delphinidae
Exons: 3
Source: RefSeq, a predicted model, not a curated record